This 465-nucleotide ribosomal RNA is filed under the name uncultured bacterium. RNAcentral's name for it is "partial 16S ribosomal RNA". It matches the Rfam family "Bacterial small subunit ribosomal RNA", at positions 28 to 507 of the family's 1533-position model. The record is from RNAcentral.
GACGAACGCUGGCGGCGUGCUUAACACAUGCAAGUCGAACGGAAAGGCCCUGCUUGCAGGGUACUCGAGUGGCGAACGGGUGAGUAACACGUGGGUGAUCUGCCCUGCACUUCGGGAUAAGCCUGGGAAACUGGGUCUAAUACCGGAUAGGAGCCAUUUUUAGUGUGAUGGUUGGAAAGUUUUUUCGGUGUAGGAUGAGCUCGCGGCCUAUCAUCUUGUUGGUGGGGUAAUGGCCUACCAAGGCGGCGACGGGUAGCCGGCCUGAGAGGGUGGACGGCCACAUUGGGACUGAGAUACGGCCCAGACUCCUACGGGAGGCAGCAGUGGGGAAUAUUGCACAAUGGGCGCAAGCCUGAUGCAGCGACGCCGCGUGGGGGAUGACGGCCUUCGGGUUGUAAACUCCUUUCGCUAGGGACGAAGCUUUUUGUGACGGUACCUAGAUAAGAAGCACCGGCUAACUACGUG